CGGACGGGUGAGUAAUGUCUGGGAAACUGCCUGAUGGAGGGGGAUAACUACUGGAAACGGUAGCUAAUACCGCAUAACGUCGCAAGACCAAAGAGGGGGACCUUCGGGCCUCUUGCCAUCGGAUGUGCCCAGAUGGGAUUAGCUUGUAGGUAAGGUAACGGCUUACCUAGGCGACGAUCCCUAGCUGGUCUGAGAGGAUGAUCAGCCACACUGGAACUGAGACACGGUCCAG
This 232-nucleotide ribosomal RNA is filed under the name uncultured bacterium. RNAcentral's name for it is "partial 16S ribosomal RNA". It matches the Rfam family "Bacterial small subunit ribosomal RNA", at positions 99 to 334 of the family's 1533-position model. The record is from RNAcentral.